Molecule: long non-coding RNA, 2879 nt
Organism: Felis catus (domestic cat)
Lineage: Eukaryota; Metazoa; Chordata; Mammalia; Carnivora; Felidae
Exons: 2
Source: RefSeq, a predicted model, not a curated record
AAGUAGGCUCCAGGCAGACAGCAGCGAGCCCGACACGGAGCUCAAACUCACGAGCUCCCGAGUUCGUGACCUGAGCUGAAGUCAGAUGCUCACCCGACUGACCUACCCAGGCGCCCCACCCCGCCUUACCUAGAUGAGAGCAACACUACCAACCACCCAAAGCUCGUGGAGAAACUGGGGUGCCUAUGAGGAAGCUCCCAUCAGGAGUGGCCGCUCACCCGAUGUGAAUUUCCGUUCUCUCCUGGAAGAUGUAACAGGAGCAACGUGGAGCCUCCUUUGUAAGCUUUUCUUAUCUGUAGCGUUUUGGAGAUGUGCCUGCAUUCCUUAGUUCCCUCUGGAUCCCUUGGCCCUCAAGGGUCAUAAAACCUUGUAGGUUUUACCUCUUCAGUAGCCACUGAUUCAGUCUGCCCUUCUGUGUCCACACUGUGCCCGCCUUAGUUGGGGCCCUGCCUCACCUCUAGCUCAUUCUCACCCCCCUGUUGGCAGAUGCUGACCCUGGGCAUCCCAUCCUUGCAAACCUCAGUGCACACGCUUGGUUCUUGGGCACAGCCAGCUGUCUCCCCCUGAUACCAGCCUGUCCUGUUCGGAGGGCAACCUGGCUCGCCUCCCAGCCUCCCAUGAAUUUGGCUGUGGCUGAGCCACCGGGUUCUGGAUGUGAUCUGAGACAACGCAGUCUCUGAUUUAUUUCCUGAAAGGUGCAUGCCUGUCCCUUUCCUUUCUUCCCCUCCAGUGGGCUGGAAUGAGGACGCAGUGGCAGGAGCUGCAGCAGCCACCUUGGACCAAGGGCCACAUGCUCAAUGCUUCCCCGGCAGAGAGAGGGGAAGGUGGGAGGAGAAAGAGGCCAGGCUGCUGCUCCUCCCUGCUAGCCUCCAUUCUGAUCAUGGCCGUGUCCUCUACCUGAGGCCACAGCCUGACAGGCACCCUGCUCCCCAGGCAGGGUGUUCCACUGGCACCCCCCUCUCCCCCGUCAGGGCUCCCUGUGGCUAGUCCUGAUGCUACACCCACCCCGGUGGACCCCUUCAUCACACUAGCCUUGGUUGGCUGCUGCUGUGGGUGCCAACCUGAGCUCCCCCCACCAAGCCCUGCCCUGAGCCCCCUCGCCACAGGACCGGUGCACCCCACUCCUGUUCCUCUUUCUGCUUUCCUGCAGGGCUGCCUCUGAGCUGGUCCCCUGUGCUCUCAUUGUCCCUUUUCCUGCCCUACAGCUGGGAGGCACUGGACUGACUGGCAGCUCAGUUCUGGUGGAGGGACAGUUACCGAGGCGUCAAGCAGAACACGGAUCAUGGCAGAUGGCAAUAACGUGCUGGGGAGAAGGAAGGCGGGAAGGAGCCAGGGUAGGUGUGCUGGCGUUAGACCAGGUGGUAAGGAAAGGCCUCACAAAGGCCAGCAAGGGAAGCUGGUGUGUGGGGGCGGGGGGGGGGCAGUGGACACAGGAGGAAGAGGGUGAAGUCAGGGCCUGUUAUGAGCCAGAAGGGCCGCCUGUGACUCACUAGCGCCCCCUCUGGCCACCGUGUGGGGAAGACUGAAAGGGCACCACCCCCUGAGAAGGGUGCUGUCGCCACCUGGCGGGAGGAGAAGGCGACAGCAGUGGGGCCAGAGGGAAGUGGCCCGUCGCCCUGCUCCUGAGGCGGAGCUGACCAGGGGACAGACGCCAAGCGGAGGAGGGUGUGCAGAGCAGGAGAGCUGAGAGGGGUCGUGCCGGGGAGUUCAGAGCUGGGACGGGCGGCGGCGGAGUUGGGAGAAAGCACGCAUGUGGUCUGCUCCGGCACGGGUCCCCAAGCACGGAGAAGGGAAAAUCAAGGCCCCACAGGCCGGCUUGAAUCACAUGACCGGCUCAGCCCAGACGGCAAUACCGCCUUGCCAGAGGGCCUGCUGUUCCCCGUACAGGGAGUGGAGUAGUCUCGGAUCAGACAGACGGCACCACCAUGCAGAAAACAUCCGGUUUAUUAGGAUUAGCUGUGGCGUACAUGGUUCCUUUGAUAGUUCUGAGCUGAUCACGAGUCCCCAGUAACGGUACACAGGUAGGGAUGCGGCUGAACACAGACAGUAACUGGUAAACUGCUUAGAAAAUCACGGGGACCCCAAUGGGUUAUGUUAGCGAUUUGUGAAAGAAAGAAAACGUAGCGUGGGACCUUGCCACGGGUGCGGAGCAGAGCAGGUGGGUUUUUGUGGCCUCCUUCAGUGCUCUCACUGCGAGCCCCCGUGCCCCCCAGAAGCUGGAUGGGAGGGCCGGAGACCAUCCACCCCCCUCCCUGCAAAGGAGCAGCGCCCCCCUCUUCCUGCUUACAGGUGGCAUCUCUUCCCAGAAAGACUGUCAGCCAUGAAACCCAUUUCCAUACGGACCGGCGUGACCUCCGAGUUACAGGGGGAAGGUGCUGCAUCCACAACAGCGCUGGGGCCUAGUGUCCCGACUGGUCGUCCCGUCGCAUCUCCGGAAUCCAUCUUCCCACCUGCUCGAGGCCGGGACCCGUGUGACCCAGCUUCCUUCCCUUCCAGACCCAGCUCUCCGUCGUGGCGAAGGCAGGACUUGGAAGUUCCGAAUGUCAGCAUGGAGCAUGGAGCCGUCAACACUGAGCACGAACUCAGUUCAAGACUCACACAGCUGUCCCAGGACAGGCGGGCACGUGGCACUGGCGUGGCCCCGCGUGGGACUCCAGACACAGCUGGUGUCCAGCUCCCACCCCUGCUCCUAUUCAGCAGGUGGGGUGGCCUGUCAAUGUCCCCGUCCCCUCCUAGAUUGGGAGACACUCCUGCUUCCAAAUAAUUCUUUGUUCUAAUAUAGGCGAGUCUUUAACCAGAUAUGCAAAUGUGACUGAUUUAGAGCUUUCGUAUAAUCUCUGUUAGAGCUUUCAUAUAAAUAAACUCAUGCAUCCAAAAGA